CAAAUUUAAAAUCUACCUGGUUUCCAGGUCGAGUUGUAAUUUGAAGAUACGUUUUUGACGUUCCGGGUUGAACUAAAUCCUUUGGGAUAAGGUAUCAUGGAGGGUGAGAAUCCCGUAUAUACCAACCRUAGGGAUGUUAUUUAAUACSUUUCUAAGAGUCGAGUUGUUUGGGAAUGCAGCUCUAAAUGGGUGGUAAAUUUCACCUAAUGCUAAAUAUAAGCGAGAGACCGAUAGCGAACAAGUACAGUGAUGGAAAGAUGAAAAGAACUUUGAAAAGAGAGUUAAAUAGUAYGUGAAAUUGUUGAAAGGGAAACGAUUGAAGUCAGUCMUGCCMGUGGGAAUCAACUUWGAGGAAACUCUGAGUGCACUUCUUCRCUUGGCAGGUCAACGUYGAUUUUGGAUGUCAUAAAAUGAUUGGGGGAAGGUAGCYCYYUCGGGAGUGUUAUAGCCCUUGGUAGAUGUGAUGUCUGGGAUCGAGGAUUGCAAUGGAUACCCUUUGGGGCUAGCCGCCUGAUCUCUAAUYGGUAUUGGGUUACGGAUAGCAUGCUGACCGUGAUCUAAUUAUUGGUUAAA
RNAcentral lists this ribosomal RNA (573 nucleotides) under Glomeromycotina sp. Its description in RNAcentral is "partial 28S ribosomal RNA". It matches the Rfam family "Eukaryotic large subunit ribosomal RNA", at positions 110 to 621 of the family's 3401-position model. The record is from RNAcentral. Lineage: Eukaryota; Fungi; Glomeromycota.